AUUGAACGCUGGCGGCAGGCCUAACACAUGCAAGUCGAGCGGAUGAAGGGAGCUUGCCCUUGCAUUCAGCGGCGGACGGGUGAGUAAUGCCUAGGAAUCUGCCUGGUAGUGGGGGAUAACGUCCGGAAACGGGCGCUAAUACCGCAUACGUCCUGAGGGAGAAAGUGGGGGAUCUUCGGACCUCACGCUAUCAGAUGAGCCUAGGUCGGAUUAGCUAGUUGGUGGGGUAAAGGCCUACCAAGGCGACGAUCCGUAACUGGUCUGAGAGGAUGAUCAGUCACACUGGAACUGAGACACGGUCCAGACUCCUACGGGAGGCAGCAGUGGGGAAUAUUGGACAAAGGGCGAAAGCCUGAUCCAGCCAUGCCGCGUGUGUGAAGAAGGUCUUCGGAUUGUAAAGCACUUUAAGUUGGGAGGAAGGGCAGUAAGUUAAUACCUUGCUGUUUUGACGUUACCAACAGAAUAAGCACCGGCUAACUUCGUG
Molecule: ribosomal RNA, 484 nt
Filed under: uncultured bacterium
Lineage: Bacteria
Description: partial 16S ribosomal RNA
Rfam family: Bacterial small subunit ribosomal RNA
Source: RNAcentral